GGUUGAUCCUGCCAGUAUUAUAUGCUGAUGUUAAAGAUUAAGCCAUGCAUGUGUAAGUUUAAAGACCAAGUAGGAUGAAACUGCGGACGGCUCAUUAUAACAGUAAUAGUUUCUUUGGUUAGUACGUACAAGGAUAACUUUGUGAAUGAUAAAGCUAAUACUUGAGACGUUCGGCGGAGUAUUAUACUUCGCUGCCGCUCUACGCAAGUGGAGCGAGAAAUGACAUUCUUCUGUGAGAAAGGAUGCCACGACAAUUGCAGAAAGCAACGCUUUUUACAAGUAACCAAUGGGAA
This 293-nucleotide ribosomal RNA is filed under the name uncultured eukaryote. RNAcentral describes it as "partial 18S ribosomal RNA". It matches the Rfam family "Eukaryotic small subunit ribosomal RNA", at positions 6 to 304 of the family's 1831-position model. The record is from RNAcentral.